Molecule: non-coding RNA, 2292 nt
Organism: Chrysemys picta bellii (western painted turtle)
Lineage: Eukaryota; Metazoa; Chordata; Testudines; Emydidae
Source: RefSeq, a predicted model, not a curated record
GGAGAGCUCGGCGCAACAGCCCCGAAGAUCCCGACCACACGGGGAAAAUCCCGGGCAAACGAAGUACCAACGGACGGAUCGUGGCUCCCAAACGCGCGGCCCCUGCCCCUCCCCCGUAGCCGCAACACGAACAGGGACCUGCAACUGCAACUGUACACCCAGUGGUUACCGGGGACUGAAGGAGCUCAGGACCUUCACUGCGUUGGAACCAGGAACCAGGAGACCGCUGGUGUUGGCAAUCACUGGAACCAGGAAUAAGGAGAAGGCUGAAAACAUCAUUAUGCAAUCCUGAAAGUAAAGCAGCUUGCCAAAUGAAUCUAAAUGGAUGAAAUGGAUAUGCGAUAGUCUGGUAAUGGAAGAGUUCACAGCUGUGCAUUGAAAGAUGAACGGCAGCAUUACUGUGCAGUUUGGUCUUAGUUUAAGAAUGUAUGAUGGAAUCUCAGUUAAAUGCAAGUCAGCCUGUAGACUUAAGUAGUUUUGUUCUUGAUUAAGUCUGUUUAAUUAGUCUCUCUAAGUGGUAAAUAGCUGACUUGUAUUUCAUCCUAUUACAAUGUACUAAAAGCUCAGGUAUGAGAACGCAUGCUGACAUGUUGUAAUCAGUCUGACUGGCAUGAGAGAAAAUAUCUCCUAUCCUAUGGGGGGUUGUUUUGUGUUCUAAGGUUACAAUGUGGAAAUUAAAACUAAGAUAAAUUAGUAAUGGUUUAUAAACUGUAAGUUUUUAAAAUAGACUAACUGUGUUUGCUAAAAUUUAAAACUAAUAUUUCAUAAAUGUUUGUGGAUAUCAUAAAUAAGACUAAGAUUCUGUCAUGGUUAUUUUUAGUAAAAGUCACAGACAGGUCACAGGCAAUAAACAAAAAUUCACGGAAGCUGUGACCUGCCUGUGACUUUUGCUGCUGCGUCUCCAUGCUUUCCCCUGCCACCAUGGUGGCUGGAAACUGUGGGGUUCCCCCUCUGCCCACAGCAGCUGGGAGCUGCAGGGUGACCAUAUUUCCCAAAGAGAAAACAGAACACCCCCAGCCGCUCGCCUGAGGCAUGUGUCCCCGCUCCCCCCGACCCCACGUGAGGCUGGAACCCAUUGCUGGAACCGGAGUCUGUCACCUGUCACUGGAACCUUGCAGGGGGCCCCCUGUCACCUGUCACUGGAACCCUGCCAGGGCCCUGCUGGCUGCCAGCUCCAGAGUACCACAGCCCCGGGGGCUGAAGCAGAGAAUAUCACAGAGAUCUCUGGAAGUCAUGGAUUCACAGAACAAAUAAUUCUCCAGCAGUUAAUACCACAUAGUUAAACUCCUUUUUAUUUACUAAUUGAUAAGAGAUUUCAAUUAUUUACAAGUAGUCUCAUUACAUCUUUUUAGUGAAUUUCCUUCUUUUGGAUUGUUGUCUCCAACUGUUCGAAUUAACAUGAAAAAUCCAGUAAUUUAAAAAUAUAAACUUUGAUUGUGCAAGAUUAACAGAUAAAGUAAAAAUAGCUUACAAGAAAUUUGGUUGCUAGAUACAUUUUUGAGCAUCCUCACAAUUGCUACCCCAUUAGUGAUCUGCAUUCUAUGUAAAACAAGGCCCCCUAUUCUGCAAACACUUCUGCACAUGCUUAACAUAACCCUCAUAAGUAGCUGAAGCCAAAAUCCAACAUGUACCUAGCUUUACUUGUGUGUUUGUAGGAUGCAAAUGAUCAGUAAAUUGCUUAAUUGGCAGUUCUGUACUAGUUUAAAAUAGAUGUAAGCCCUCAAUUAUUAGAACACAUUCAAAAUACUAGGAUUUUGCCAGCAAAGGCUAAGUUAAUCAAAGAGGUAAUGCAAUUAAUUCCUAUGAAAGGCUGACUUCCUCUGUGUACAGUAUAUAUAGGCUUGGAAGGAUUUGAUUUUUAUCAGUAAAUAUCAAUUUCACCAGACACACACAAAUCAACAAAACAAUAUUUUCACUGAUAAUCAAAAUUUAAAGGUAGGCAAAGAAAGAAAAGUACUACUUGAGAACUUAUUAGCGUUAAAGUCAACUUUGAACUAGGCUUGUUACAUAUGGACUAGUGAAUGAAUCUUAAAAACAUUUGUGAUAUGUUGAUUUAAAGAUAUUUACUUUGUAUAUUUUGACAUGUGAUACUGACAAUUUGUUUUGAUGGUUUAUAAAGCUUUAACAUUUUGAAUCUCAACGUUUAUUGUCAUUAAAUAAUUGUCCGACCCUCCCUAUAAUUCCCAUGACUGUGAACAUUCAAACAGAUAAAAAUCUAAAAUGCUUAAAACCCAUAAUUUUGUACAACGUUGAAAAUGUUCAUGGAUAAAAAUAAAAAUGCUUAAAAAUUAA